AAUGGGCGAAAGCCUGACGCAGCGAUGCCGCGUGAGUGAUGACGGUUUUCGGACUGUAAAGCUCUUUUAUUAGGGAAGAUAAUGACGGUACCUAAAGAAAAAGUCCCGGCUAACUCCCUGCCAGCAGCCGCGGUAAUACGGAGGGGGCGAACGUUAUUCGGAUUUACUGGGCGUAAAGCGACUGUAGGCGGUCUUGCAAGCCAGAUGUGAAAUCCCCGGGCUUAACCUGGGAAUUGCAUUUGGAACUGCAUCACUAGAGUUAUGGAGAGGUAAGUGGAAUUUCCAGUGUAGAGGUGAAAUUCGUAGAUAUUGGAAGGAACACCAGAGGCGAAGGCGACUUACUGGCCAUAUACUGACGCUGAGAGUCGAAAGCGUGGGGAGCAAACAGGAUU
This 392-nucleotide ribosomal RNA is filed under the name uncultured Gammaproteobacteria bacterium. Its description in RNAcentral is "bacterial SSU rRNA". It matches the Rfam family "Bacterial small subunit ribosomal RNA", at positions 370 to 779 of the family's 1533-position model. The record is from RNAcentral. Lineage: Bacteria; Pseudomonadati; Pseudomonadota; Gammaproteobacteria.